This 88-nucleotide transfer RNA is filed under the name Desulfobacca sp. 4484_104. Its description in RNAcentral is "tRNA-Leu". It matches the Rfam family "tRNA". Rfam says of the family: Transfer RNA (tRNA) molecules are approximately 80 nucleotides in length. RNAcentral also lists the same sequence under 3 other names. The record is from RNAcentral. Lineage: Bacteria; Pseudomonadati; Thermodesulfobacteriota; Desulfobaccia; Desulfobaccales; Desulfobaccaceae.
GCCGAAGUGGCGGAAUUUGGUAGACGCGCUAGGUUCAGGGUCUAGUGGGCGUACGCCUGUCCGGGUUCGAGUCCCGGCUUCGGCACCA